This is a long non-coding RNA of Aedes albopictus (Asian tiger mosquito), 718 nucleotides long. RefSeq lists it as uncharacterized. The transcript is spliced from 2 exons. The record is from RefSeq and is a predicted model, not a curated record. NCBI's taxonomy places the organism in Eukaryota, Metazoa, Arthropoda, Insecta, Diptera, Culicidae.
GAGAGCAUAGAUGACCGUACUAUUCGUAGUUGCUACUCCGUGAUUGACCAGAACAAUCGAAGUUGCACAAGGAACCAACAGACGGAGCUUGGGAGUAGCUUACCGUCCUCAAUGUGCAUCUUCGAGAAUUCCAAACUUUAUUAGGUCAAUAACGGCGCCGGCCACGUCCUUACGGUCAUCGAGGAAGGAAAGGAAUGUUAUUAUGACGUGCGUUGCUUACUAAAGACCGAGAUCACCUCUGCGUCUCCACGUCUGUCAUGGGAAGGACUUUUUGUUAGUGGGGAGGGGAAAGGGCGCAUGAUAUGAGUUCACUUUGGUAAGUGGAGUGAUUCAUGCAACCCUAUUAAUAUCAAACCACUUAUUUUCAUUUGGACUAAAACAAAACAUAUGCCGACAUCGAAGAUGACGAACCAUUCAGAUAGUUUUCGAAGUGCGAAAAUUAACGAAAGAGAAAAUAAAGUGAUUUGAACCAACGUGGCUUUGGAACUUGGGCCGACACUUGACGUGACGAACAUUUCAAUGUCUGUUGACUAAAAUCGCAAAAAAUGUUGAUGUUGCAUUUAUCGUAUCAUAAAUCGCCCCGUACGAAGAUGAGCAGUCAAAUAGACGACGACGACGACGACGACCGAAUGAAAACGCGGCCUGUACACUUUGCCACCAAAAACUCACUAAAUCGCCCCGUACGAAGAUGAGCAGUCAAAUAGACGACGACGACGAC